CCUACGGGUGGCAGCAGUGGGGGAUAUUGGACAAUGGGGGAAACCCUGAUCCAGCGACGCCGCGUGAGUGAAGAAGUAUUUCGGUAUGUAAAGCUCUUUUGUCAGGGAACAAAGGCGGGGACUAGUCCCCGGAUGAGGGUACCUGAAGAAAAAGCAUCGGCUAACUCCGUGCCAGCAGCCGCGGUAAUACGGAGGAUGCGAGCGUUAUCCGGAUUUAUUGGGUUUAAAGGGUGCGCAGGCGGCCUGUUAAGUCAGCGGUAAAAGCCCGGGGCUCAACCCCGGCGAGCCGUUGAAACUGGCGGGCUGGAGUUGGAGAGAAGUACGCGGAAUGCGCGGUGUAGCGGUGAAAUGCUUAGAUAUCGCGCAGAACCCCGAUUGCGAAGGCAGCGUACCGGCUCCACACUGACGCUGAGGCACGAAAGCGUGGGUAUCGAACAGGAUUAGAUACCCCAGUAGUC
Molecule: ribosomal RNA, 458 nt
Filed under: uncultured bacterium
Lineage: Bacteria
Description: partial 16S ribosomal RNA
Rfam family: Bacterial small subunit ribosomal RNA
Source: RNAcentral